RNAcentral lists this long non-coding RNA (924 nucleotides) under Equus caballus (horse). RNAcentral describes it as "lncRNA (ENSECAG00000036544.3)". The record is from RNAcentral. Lineage: Eukaryota; Metazoa; Chordata; Mammalia; Perissodactyla; Equidae.
GUUCUCUGAACCUGUUAAUGGGAAAACUAUUACUCUGUGAUUUCUAAAUGAAUUUUGAGUCUGUCUUUUAAAAUAGCCAGCACACCAAGGUCUUUACUCUCUGCCAGUUUAGUUGCAGAAAUAUAAUGAUUUCUUAAUGCAAUCGCAUAAAACACGCUACUUAAGGAAAACUUAAUAGCUGAAUAUGACUGUGAAGAAGAUAUUUUUCUGCCUAAGACUAACUUCCCUUUCAUUGUUUCCUUUUGAUGAAUUAUUGAGUAAACAUCGAGCUGACUUAAAUAUUCUCCUGCUUUAAGCUGCUUACCUUCAAAAUCUACUUCUGGAACUGUGCUCUGUCACCAGAUAACUUAAGCCUGGCAGGAAAAUAGCUAUGCCCAUUCCUGAGUCCUUUAGUUGUGACGAUAUCUGGAGAGAGAAAAGGGACCAUCUCUUCCCGGGCCUCUUUUCUAAGAAUAAGGAAACUUCUUCCAUAACUCCUCCAGCAGACUUCACUUUGCACCUUAUUGGCCAGAAGUGUGUUACGUGACAAUUCUUCAACCAAGAAGGGGAACGGAUUAGCUUGACAGGCUGCAGACUACCCUUCGAACUGAGCAUGAAGUCAUCUUCCUCCAAGUCAUGUGUGAGGACGUGAAGGAAGUGAGAUAUCUGAACACAAAGGAAGGAAGAAGGGAGAAUGAGCAUUGGAUAGACAAUCAGUUGAGCACUUGGAGCUGCUUUGUGCGAGCUUGUGAGAGUCAACUGUUAGACUCAGGAAUUUUGAAUGCUGGCAGUUAAACACAGCCAUUAUCAAAAAUUAAGUUAUAUAAUCUUACAGUUAAAAUAUGUUAAAGCAAAAGUAAUAAAUACUCAAAAGUGAUCAAUCUCUAAUUAUUUUUACUACAUCAUUCUAUUAUCUAUGCUUUUGAUGUUUUGUAUCUGUGUGGG